RNAcentral lists this ribosomal RNA (337 nucleotides) under uncultured archaeon. Its description in RNAcentral is "partial 16S ribosomal RNA". It matches the Rfam family "Archaeal small subunit ribosomal RNA", at positions 133 to 475 of the family's 1478-position model. The record is from RNAcentral.
CGGGAAACUGGGGAUAAUACCCCAUAGACUACAGAAGCUGGAAUGCUCUGUAAUCGAAAGGUCCGCCGCCUUAGGAUGGGUCUGCGGCUGAUUAGGUUGUUGUUGGGGUAACGGCCCAACAAGCCUGUAAUCAGUACGGGUUGUGGGAGCAAGAACCCGGAGAUGGAUUCUGAGACACGAAUCCAGGCCCUACGGGGCGCAGCAGGCGCGAAAACUUUACAAUGCGAGAAAUCGUGAUAAGGGAACCCCGAGUGCCCGUAAAUUCGGGCUGUUAAUCUGUGUAAAAAGCAGGUGGAGAAAGGGCCGGGCAAGACCGGUGCCAGCCGCCGCGGUAACA